Molecule: ribosomal RNA, 491 nt
Filed under: uncultured bacterium
Lineage: Bacteria
Description: bacterial SSU rRNA
Rfam family: Bacterial small subunit ribosomal RNA
Source: RNAcentral
AACGAACGCUGGCGGCGCGCCUAACACAUGCAAGUCGAACGGGGUGCAUGGAGCUGAUCGCUUCGGUGUGAAGCACCAUGUUACUUAGUGGCGAACGGGUGAGUAACACAUAGGUAACCUGCCCUUAGGAUUGGGAUACUCCCGGGAAACCGGGCACAAUACCGAAUAUGACCCCAGGGUGAAAUGCCCAGGGGUAAAAGCUGCGAGCAAUCGUGGUGCCUGAGGAUGGGCCUGUGGCCUAUCAGCUUGUUGGUGAGGUAAAGGCUCACCAAGGCAAAGACGGGUAGCCGGACUGAGAGGUUGAUCGGCCACACUGGAACUGAGACACGGUCCAGACUCCUACGGGAGGCAGCAGUGGGGAAUUUUGCGCAAUGGGCGAAAGCCUGACGCAGCGACGCCGCGUGGGGGAAGAAGGCCUUCGGGUUGUAAACUCCUUUAGUACGGGAAGAAGCCUUCGGGUGACGUACCGUAAGAGUAAGCACACGCUAACU